Molecule: transfer RNA, 75 nt
Filed under: candidate division WWE3 bacterium CG_4_9_14_0_2_um_filter_35_11
Lineage: Bacteria; candidate division WWE3
Also listed under: 1 other name
Description: tRNA-Lys
Rfam family: tRNA
About the family: Transfer RNA (tRNA) molecules are approximately 80 nucleotides in length. Their secondary structure includes four short double-helical elements and three loops (D, anti-codon, and T loops).
Source: RNAcentral
GGGCGCAUAGCUCAAUGGUAGAGCAACUGGCUCUUAACUAGUAGGUUGCAGGUUCGAAUCCUGCUGCGCCCACCA